This 668-nucleotide ribosomal RNA is filed under the name uncultured beta proteobacterium. RNAcentral describes it as "bacterial SSU rRNA". It matches the Rfam family "Bacterial small subunit ribosomal RNA", at positions 59 to 720 of the family's 1533-position model. The record is from RNAcentral. Lineage: Bacteria; Pseudomonadati; Pseudomonadota; Betaproteobacteria.
AAGUCGAACGGCAGCACGGGUGCUUGCACCUGGUGGCGAGUGGCGAACGGGUGAGUAAUACAUCGGAACAUGUCCUGUAGUGGGGGAUAGCCCGGCGAAAGCCGGAUUAAUACCGCAUACGAUCUACGGAUGAAAGCGGGGGACCUUCGGGCCUCGCGCUAUAGGGUUGGCCGAUGGCUGAUUAGCUAGUUGGUGGGGUAAAGGCCUACCAAGGCGACGAUCAGUAGCUGGUCUGAGAGGACGACCAGCCACACUGGGACUGAGACACGGCCCAGACUCCUACGGGAGGCAGCAGUGGGGAAUUUUGGACAAUGGGCGGAAGCCUGAUCCAGCAAUGCCGCGUGUGUGAAGAAGGCCUUCGGGUUGUAAAGCACUUUUGUCCGGAAAGAAAUCCUUGGUUCUAAUAUAGCCGGGGGAUGACGGUACCGGAAGAAUAAGCACCGGCUAACUACGUGCCAGCAGCCGCGGUAAUACGUAGGGUGCGAGCGUUAAUCGGAAUUACUGGGCGUAAAGCGUGCGCAGGCGGUUUGCUAAGACCGAUGUGAAAUCCCCGGGCUCAACCUGGGAACUGCAUUGGUGACUGGUAGGCUAGAGUAUGGCAGAGGGGGGUAGAAUUCCACGUGUAGCAGUGAAAUGCGUAGAGAUGUGGAGGAAUACCGAUGGCGAAG